GCGCACCAGUCGCGAAAACUCUGCAAUACGCGAAAGCGUGACGGGGCCAUCCCGAGUGUCGUCCGCUGAGGAUGGCUUUUCCCUAGUGUAGGUAGCUGGGGGAAUAAGGAGAGGGCAAGUCUGGUGUCAGCCGCCGCGGUAAUACCAGCUCUCCGAGUGGUAGGGAUGUUUAUUGGGCCUGAAGCAUCCGUAGCCGGCUCAACAAGUCCUCCGUUAAAUCCAGCGAUUCAAUCGUUGGAUUGCGAGGGAUACUGUUCGGCUAGGAGGCGAGAGAGGCCAACGGUAUUCCCGGAGUAGGGGUGAAAUCCUAUAAUCCCGGGAGGACCACCAGUGGCGAAGGCUGUUGGCUAGAACGCGCUCGACGGUGAGGGAUGAAAGCUGGGGGAGCGAACCGGAUUAGAUACCCGCGUAGUCC
This 415-nucleotide ribosomal RNA is filed under the name uncultured crenarchaeote. Its description in RNAcentral is "partial 16S ribosomal RNA". It matches the Rfam family "Archaeal small subunit ribosomal RNA", at positions 330 to 747 of the family's 1478-position model. Lineage: Archaea; Thermoproteati; Thermoproteota. The record is from RNAcentral.